This 500-nucleotide ribosomal RNA is filed under the name uncultured bacterium. RNAcentral's name for it is "partial 16S ribosomal RNA". It matches the Rfam family "Bacterial small subunit ribosomal RNA", at positions 30 to 523 of the family's 1533-position model. The record is from RNAcentral.
AUUGAACGCUGGCGGAAUGCUUUACACAUGCAAGUCGAACGGCAGCACGGACUUCGGUCUGGUGGCGAGUGGCGAACGGGUGAGUAACAUAUCGGAACGUAUCUAAUAAUGGGGGAUAACGAGUCGAAAGAUUCGCUAAUACCGCAUACGCCCUACGGGGGAAAGCGGGGGAUCGCAAGACCUCGCGCGAUUGGAGCGGCCGAUAUCAGAUUAGGUAGUUGGUGGGGUAAAGGCCCACCAAGCCAACGAUCUGUAGCUGGUCUGAGAGGACGACCAGCCACACUGGAACUGAGACACGGUCCAGACUCCUACGGGAGGCAGCAGUGGGGAAUUUUGGACAAUGGGCGAAAGCCUGAUCCAGCCAUUCCGCGUGCAGGAUGAAGGCCCUCGGGUUGUAAACUGCUUUUGUACAGAACGAAAAGGCUUCUACUAAUACUAGGAGCUCAUGACGGUACUGUAAGAAUAAGCACCGGCUAACUACGUGCCAGCAGCCGCCGUAA